UGGGGGGUUGAGGCGGAAGAACUCCCGGAACCGCUAGAGGCGGAGGUGCCGGAAGAUAUUUUGAAUGACUUCAAAUAAAGACCCUAAAGAUCUCGGGAAAAUCAGACGGGACAAAAGACGAGAGGUCGCGGGAGACCAAAUUAGAGGAAUGCAACAGAAGAAAAUGAAGGAGAAAAGGCCCCUAAAUGGCAAGAAGAAAAACGAAGGUUC
Molecule: long non-coding RNA, 210 nt
Filed under: Elaeis guineensis (African oil palm)
Lineage: Eukaryota; Viridiplantae; Streptophyta; Magnoliopsida; Arecales; Arecaceae
Description: long non-coding RNA (EGUI_LNC081931)
Source: RNAcentral